RNAcentral lists this ribosomal RNA (388 nucleotides) under uncultured bacterium. RNAcentral describes it as "bacterial SSU rRNA". It matches the Rfam family "Bacterial small subunit ribosomal RNA", at positions 28 to 417 of the family's 1533-position model. The record is from RNAcentral.
GACGAACGCUGGCGGCGUGCUUAACACAUGCAAGUCGAGCGGUAAGGCCCUUUCGGGGGUACACGAGCGGCGAACGGGUGAGUAACACGUGGGUGACCUGCCCUCAGCUCUGGGAUAAGCCUGGGAAACCGGGUCUAAUACCGGAUAUGACCUCAUGACGCAUGUUGUGGGGUGGAAAGCCUUGUGCGGCUGAGGAUGGGCCCGCGGCCUAUCAGCUUGUUGGUGGGGUGANGGCCUACCAAGGCGACGACGGGUAGCCGGCCUGAGAGGGCGACCGGCCACACUGGGACUGAGACACGGCCCAGACUCCUACGGGAGGCAGCAGUGGGGAAUCUUGCGCAAUGGGCGAAAGCCUGACGCAGCGACGCCGCAUGAGGGAUGACGGCCU